This 1377-nucleotide non-coding RNA is filed under the name Opisthocomus hoazin. Its description in RNAcentral is "Bacterial large subunit ribosomal RNA". It matches the Rfam family "Bacterial large subunit ribosomal RNA", at positions 1 to 1539 of the family's 2925-position model. The record is from Rfam by way of RNAcentral. Lineage: Eukaryota; Metazoa; Chordata; Aves; Opisthocomiformes; Opisthocomidae.
GAUAAAAUGAAUAAGAGCGUACGGUGAAUGCCUUGGCAUUGAGAGCUGAUGAAGGACGCAACUAACGGCGAUACGCUUCGGGGAGUCGUAAGUAGACAUCGAUCCGGAGAUUUCCGAAUGGGGCAACCCGAUUAUCUUCAUCGAUAAUCAUCUUCGAGAUGAAUUCAUAGUUUCGAAGAGGACAACGUAGGGAAUUGAAACAUCUUAGUACCUACAGGAAAAGAAAACAAAUUAGUGAUUCCCUUAGUAGUGGCGAGCGAACGGGGAAGAGCCCAAACCGACUUCGAGUCGGGGUUGUAGGACCAUAACAUGAGACCGGCGAGUUAGCUGAAGGAAUUGGAAAGUUCCACCAUAGAGAGUGAUAGUCUCGUAAGCGAAAACUCUAAAGGCUCUAUUGGUAUCCUGAGUACGGCGGGGCACGUGAAACCUUGUCGGAAUCUGCCUGGACCAUCAGGCAAGGCUAAAUACUCCUCAAUGACCGAUAGUGAACCAGUACCGUGAGGGAAAGGUGAAAAGAACCGCUGGCGCGGAGUGAAAUAGACCCUGAAACCGUAUGCUUACAAGAAGUCAGAGCCCUAGCCAUGACCAGGUUGAAGUUUGGGUGAAACCAAAUGGAGGACCGAACCAACCAUCGUUGAAAAGCUGGUGGAUGAGUUGUGGCUAGCGGAGAAAUUCCAAUCGAACACGGCGAUAGCUGGUUCUCCCCGAAAUAGCUUUAGGGCUAGCGUCGGAGUAAAGAUAUUGGCAGGUAGAGCACUGAAUUCAUGAUGGCCCCAUCCCGGGGUACUGAUUGGAAUCAAACUCCGAAUGGUCAAUAUUGUUUUCCGGCAGUCAGACUGCGAGUGAUAAGGUCCGUGGUCAAAAGGGAAACAGCCCAGAUCAUCGGUUAAGGUCCCAAAAUCUAUGCUAAGUGGAAAAGGAUGUGGGGAUGCGUGGACAGCUAGGAGGUUGGCUCAGAAGCAGCCACCCUUCAAAGAGUGCGUAACAGCUCACUAGUCGAGUGCCCCUGCGCCGAAAAUUUACCGGGGCUAAGCAUAGUACCGAAACCAUGGAUUUGUACCUAGUACAAGUGGUAGGGGAGCGUUCCUGUUGCAUUGAAGGUAUACCGUAAGGAGUGCUGGAGCGGCAGGAAGUGAGAAUGCCGGUGUGAGUAACGAGAUGCAGGUGAGAAUCCUGCACACCGAUUGACUAAGGUUUCCAGGGCAAGGGUCGUCCUCCCUGGGUAAGUCGGGACCUAAGGCGAGGCCGAAAGGCGUAGUCGAUGGACAACAGGUUGAUAUUCCUGUACCCGUAUGCGUAAUGAUGGAGUGACAGAUGGGGAAGAUGAGAGCCCCUUAUCGGAUUGGAGUUUAAGCGUAGCAGAUGUCUAAUAGGCAA